Long non-coding RNA from Malaclemys terrapin pileata, 183 nucleotides. RefSeq lists it as uncharacterized. NCBI's taxonomy places the organism in Eukaryota, Metazoa, Chordata, Testudines, Emydidae. The transcript has 3 exons. The record is from RefSeq and is a predicted model, not a curated record.
CCGACUCACUCUGUUUCCCACAGCUGAGCAGGAUGGAAGUGGAAACAUGUCCAUUUGCCUGCUGUGUUUCCAGAGGGCACAGCAACAGUUAAGUUGCCUUCAGCAAGAGAUGGAAACCAGGACUGAGCCUUUGAGCCUACAGCUGGCCCUUUUUCUUCACAAGGGGUAAACCCCCUUUUUUCU